UGGAGAGAGCGGGAUUCGAACCACGCGACCGAAAGAUUUACUUAGUUAAAAGUUUGCAGUAGGCAUUCUUGUCAGAAUACACAUAACAUUCUUUUGCUCUACCAGACUGAGCUAUCUCUCC
RNAcentral lists this transfer RNA (121 nucleotides) under Vibrio phage 1.081.O._10N.286.52.C2. RNAcentral describes it as "tRNA-Asn". The record is from RNAcentral. Lineage: Duplodnaviria; Heunggongvirae; Uroviricota; Caudoviricetes; Pantevenvirales; Straboviridae.